This 1329-nucleotide ribosomal RNA is filed under the name Staphylococcus sp. KB1.1R. Its description in RNAcentral is "bacterial SSU rRNA". It matches the Rfam family "Bacterial small subunit ribosomal RNA", at positions 83 to 1398 of the family's 1533-position model. The record is from RNAcentral. Lineage: Bacteria; Bacillati; Bacillota; Bacilli; Caryophanales; Staphylococcaceae.
CCUUUGACGUUAGGGGCGGACGGGUGAGUAACACGUGGGUAACCUACCUAUAAGACUGGGAUAACUUCGGGAAACCGGAGCUAAUACCGGAUAAUAUUUCGAACCGCAUGGUUCGAUAGUGAAAGAUGGCUUUGCUAUCACUUAUAGAUGGACCUGCGCCGUAUUAGCUAGUUGGUAAGGUAACGGCUUACCAAGGCAACGAUACGUAGCCGACCUGAGAGGGUGAUCGGCCACACUGGAACUGAGACACGGUCCAGACUCCUACGGGAGGCAGCAGUAGGGAAUCUUCCGCAAUGGGCGAAAGCCUGACGGAGCAACGCCGCGUGAGUGAUGAAGGUCUUCGGAUCGUAAAACUCUGUUAUUAGGGAAGAACAAACGUGUAAGUAACUGUGCACGUCUUGACGGUACCUAAUCAGAAAGCCACGGCUAACUACGUGCCAGCAGCCGCGGUAAUACGUAGGUGGCAAGCGUUAUCCGGAAUUAUUGGGCGUAAAGCGCGCGUAGGCGGUUUUUUAAGUCUGAUGUGAAAGCCCACGGCUCAACCGUGGAGGGUCAUUGGAAACUGGAAAACUUGAGUGCAGAAGAGGAAAGUGGAAUUCCAUGUGUAGCGGUGAAAUGCGCAGAGAUAUGGAGGAACACCAGUGGCGAAGGCGACUUUCUGGUCUGUAACUGACGCUGAUGUGCGAAAGCGUGGGGAUCAAACAGGAUUAGAUACCCUGGUAGUCCACGCCGUAAACGAUGAGUGCUAAGUGUUAGGGGGUUUCCGCCCCUUAGUGCUGCAGCUAACGCAUUAAGCACUCCGCCUGGGGAGUACGACCGCAAGGUUGAAACUCAAAGGAAUUGACGGGGACCCGCACAAGCGGUGGAGCAUGUGGUUUAAUUCGAAGCAACGCGAAGAACCUUACCAAAUCUUGACAUCCUUUGACCCUUCUAGAGAUAGAAGUUUCCCCUUCGGGGGACAAAGUGACAGGUGGUGCAUGGUUGUCGUCAGCUCGUGUCGUGAGAUGUUGGGUUAAGUCCCGCAACGAGCGCAACCCUUAAGCUUAGUUGCCAUCAUUAAGUUGGGCACUCUAAGUUGACUGCCGGUGACAAACCGGAGGAAGGUGGGGAUGACGUCAAAUCAUCAUGCCCCUUAUGAUUUGGGCUACACACGUGCUACAAUGGACAAUACAAAGGGCAGCGAAACCGCGAGGUCAAGCAAAUCCCAUAAAGUUGUUCUCAGUUCGGAUUGUAGUCUGCAACUCGACUACAUGAAGCUGGAAUCGCUAGUAAUCGUAGAUCAGCAUGCUACGGUGAAUACGUUCCCGGGUCUUGUACACGCCGCCCGUC